UUGCCAAACCAAAACACUGAAACAAAGUGGCGUGGAUUCACUGCUUCUUUUCAAAUCGAAUACAUUUUUCGCUAAUUAUUCUUUCAAAUCAGAUCCGUACCCCGUGAAGUUAGGUAUAUCGGAGUUUAUGCACGGAAUCGGGAAUGGAGUAGAGACGUAAAGCUUGAAUCCAAAUUUGGAGUUUUAAAGAAUCUAUUGCUUUGCUCGAUCUAUGAAGCUGAAUAAGCUCAAUGUUGGAGCCGAACUGAAUGUUUGCGAACAUUGUCCAGCAGGCUGGUCUUCGGGUAUAACUGAUGGCUUUGGUGGUGAGUGAUCCAUGCUGUGAUUAUUUCAGACAAAAAAAUGAGUGAACGGUGAAGACUGCUUCUCAAGUUCUCAUUAUAUAGAAGAACACAACUGCAGCAGAAAAACUGCUCAAACGUGGGAUGGUGCUGUUCGGUUCAGUUAUGUAGGAACAUGGACAGAAAAACAUGCUUGCUGCAAGUAACCGCUCAGAACCGCCUUCAAUAGCGGUUAAAAUUAAGAGUUUAAACGGCCCAGAUUUAAUCUCAGCAUAAUCGAACGGAUGAUAUUGAUUUCAAAGGUCACGGUGUAUAUCGGAUGUCAAACGACUGGAAAACGGACGUGGGUCUGAACAGUCUCAUUAGUUGCAAGGCCCUUCUCUGGCUCAACCUAGCGUGAAACGAAACUUUCAAAUUAGAAGAGGCUGUAAUUGGGAGUUUCAACGUACCCCACUUAUCGACUACAUGAUAGUUUCUUCGUCUAUCAAUUGAAAACCGGUGGGAAUUUAAAUCAGCAGUUGCAAACAUGGUACAAAAGUGGAGAUUCAGUUGUUAAUAUCUAAAUGCAAGUUAACCAAACAAAAUUAUAUAUCAUAGAUAAACUAUCUAAUUAUACGUUUAUAUUUUAUAAUGACUCUUUGCAGUUAAUUAAAUGAUGCACACUGUUCUAUUACAGGUUUGAAUUGAAACAACUAAGUAUGUAAUUUGAUAUAAACAAGUAUGUUUGUUUUUUGUUUAGUAUAUAGGUUUGUUUU
Molecule: long non-coding RNA, 1036 nt
Filed under: Helianthus annuus (common sunflower)
Lineage: Eukaryota; Viridiplantae; Streptophyta; Magnoliopsida; Asterales; Asteraceae
Description: hypothetical non coding rna
Source: RNAcentral